This 253-nucleotide ribosomal RNA is filed under the name uncultured bacterium. Its description in RNAcentral is "partial 16S ribosomal RNA". It matches the Rfam family "Bacterial small subunit ribosomal RNA", at positions 524 to 776 of the family's 1533-position model. The record is from RNAcentral.
UACGUAGGGGGCAAGCGUUAUCCGGAUUUACUGGGUGUAAAGGGAGCGUAGACGGCGGUGCAAGCCAGAUGUGAAAGCCCGAGGCUCAACCCCGGGACUGCAUUUGGAACUGUGCUGCUAGAGUGUCGGAGAGGCAGGCGGAAUUCCUAGUGUAGCGGUGAAAUGCGUAGAUAUUAGGAGGAACACCAGUGGCGAAGGCGGCCUGCUGGACGAUGACUGACGUUGAGGCUCGAAAGCGUGGGGAGCAAACAGG